Molecule: long non-coding RNA, 230 nt
Filed under: Phoenix dactylifera (date palm)
Lineage: Eukaryota; Viridiplantae; Streptophyta; Magnoliopsida; Arecales; Arecaceae
Description: long non-coding RNA (PDAC_LNC016888)
Source: RNAcentral
AGUUGCAUCUCUACUUUCUACAUAGAAUACAUGUAUUUUUUACCUUGUUUCAUAUACAUGUUCUGCACCAAGAAGUACAGAAAAAAUCACAUAAAAAUGCUAAUACUUAUCAAUUUUAUAUCGAAAUUGGUAAUUGGUGGAACAUUACGUGGCAGUAAAUGAAUGGACAGGUGACUUAUCUCGCAUUGAUCCCAAAACAGACCUCCUCAAAACUGAUAAUUUAUUAUUAU